This 253-nucleotide ribosomal RNA is filed under the name uncultured bacterium. Its description in RNAcentral is "partial 16S ribosomal RNA". It matches the Rfam family "Bacterial small subunit ribosomal RNA", at positions 524 to 776 of the family's 1533-position model. The record is from RNAcentral.
UACAGAGGUCUCAAGCGUUGUUCGGAAUCACUGGGCGUAAAGGGUGCGUAGGCUGCCCGGAAAGUCAGAGGUGAAAUCCCGGAGCUCAACUUCGGAAUUGCCUCCGAUACUCCCGUGCUUGAGGACUGGAGAGGAGUCUGGAAUUCACAGUGGAGCAGUGAAAUGCGUAGAUAUUGUGAGGAACACUAGUGGCGAAGGCGAGACUCUGGACAGUUCCUGACGCUGAGGCACGAAGGCCCGGGGAGCAAACGGG